UUGCUCGCUUUGGCAGCACAUAUGCUAAAAUAAUUGGAAUGAUAUAAAAAAUUAGCAUGGGCCCUGUGUAAGGAUGACACACAAAUUCAUGAAACAUUUCAUAUUUUU
Molecule: small nuclear RNA, 108 nt
Filed under: Dasypus novemcinctus (nine-banded armadillo)
Lineage: Eukaryota; Metazoa; Chordata; Mammalia; Cingulata; Dasypodidae
Source: RNAcentral